ACCUCAUUAAUCCUUAAUUACAAAGAGUUUUAACUCACAUUAAAUUUAAACAUCAAAAGGUAAAAAAAGGGUAAAAUACUAAGGAGUUCAUUACAACAAAAAUCAAUGUAGAAAUGAAAGAUACAAAGAGGAAAAUACGAGCUACAAUACUGUAGGCAACAAGAAUAAAUAGUAUAAGCAGUAGUACAACCUCCUUUAAGCUGUAAAUCUUCAAGAAUUAAUGUCAAUGGUUCCAAAAUGAAUUGAAGAUAAUGAUGAAUUGUAGUGAGAUACAAUGGAAUCUGAGAAUUAUUGUUGGUGGAGGCAAUGGAAAUUAGGUUAGCUGUAUUUGUCUUUUUUUUUUCAGACUUUUGUCCUUAUAUAGGACAAAUCUAGUACAUUCUCUUUCCUUGUUUUUUUAAUCUUUU
This 407-nucleotide long non-coding RNA is filed under the name Cicer arietinum (chickpea). RNAcentral's name for it is "long non-coding RNA (CARI_LNC000275)". The record is from RNAcentral. Lineage: Eukaryota; Viridiplantae; Streptophyta; Magnoliopsida; Fabales; Fabaceae.